Molecule: ribosomal RNA, 476 nt
Filed under: uncultured bacterium
Lineage: Bacteria
Description: partial 16S ribosomal RNA
Rfam family: Bacterial small subunit ribosomal RNA
Source: RNAcentral
AUUAACGCUGGCGGCGUGCAUAACACAUGCAAGUCGAACGAUGAAACUUUAAUGAACCCUUCGGGGAGAAUUAAAGCGGAUUAGUGGCGAACGGGUGAGUAACGCGUGAGUAACCUGCCUUACACAAGGGGAUAGCCUUUGGAAACGAAGAAUAAUACCCUAUAAAACCAUAAAAGCACAUGCAAUUAUGGUCAAAGUGAUAGCGGUGUAAGAUGGACUUGCGUCUGAUUAGCUAGUUGGUGAGAUAAAAGCCCACCAAGGCAACGAUCAGUAGCCGGCUUGAGAGAGUGUACGGCCACAUUGGGACUGAGACACGGCCCAGACUCCUACGGGAGGCAGCAGUGGGGAAUUUUGCACAAUGGGGGAAACCCUGAUGCAGCGACGCCGCGUGAUUUAGAAGGCCUUCGGGUUGUAAAAAUCUUUUGUAUAGGAAGAAAAUGACAGUACUAUACGAAUAAGGGCCGGCUAAUUACGUG